RNAcentral lists this long non-coding RNA (307 nucleotides) under Elaeis guineensis (African oil palm). RNAcentral's name for it is "long non-coding RNA (EGUI_LNC026260)". Lineage: Eukaryota; Viridiplantae; Streptophyta; Magnoliopsida; Arecales; Arecaceae. The record is from RNAcentral.
UGAAGGAUUUGGAGAGAAAGGAAAGGGAGGGAUUCCCUUUUCCUUGUUUGGAUAUUAAUUUUUGAAGGAGGGGAAGGAAAAGAGAGAGGUACCCUUCUUUCUCUCUUUCUUUCUGUUAAACUAAUUUUCUAAUUUCUCCAAUUUAGAAAAAUCGGGAGAGAAAGGGACAUGAGAUAUUUAAAGAACAAAAAUGCCCAUAGAUCUUCAAAUAAAAGCUAGGGUUUAUUCUAUGGCUUUCUUUCAUUGUUUUCUAUUAAACUUUUUUCUUCCUCUUUUCUACAUGAAUCAAAUAUGAUGUCCGUCACUC